This is a long non-coding RNA of Arabidopsis thaliana (thale cress), 348 nucleotides long. RefSeq annotates it as other RNA. Lineage: Eukaryota; Viridiplantae; Streptophyta; Magnoliopsida; Brassicales; Brassicaceae. The transcript has a single exon. The record is from RefSeq.
GCCUUUUGGCCUUUGCGUGUUGACUGGGAGAAUUUGGUGAAGCCGUCCACAACAUUCAGAACAAUACGAAGGUUCCGAUUCGUUCUGACGUGGAAAUUAAAUCGAUAUGUAGAAUAGUUUGAAUUAAAUUAAUAGUGGAAAAUAAACAGUGUACGUGCAUAAUAAUAGUUUCAUUUUCUUAUAUAUACAUCACUAAUCAUAAACACUUAAAGACUGACAAAAUUUGAAAUGUGUAAGAGCCGCUAUAUAGAUGUAAGAUUUUUCUUUAUUUGAUAAUUUCAACUUGUUUUUUUCUUGUUUUGAUCUUCUUAAUAGUGCAAGGCUAGUGGGUGUACUUGUUGAGCUGCC